GACGAACGCUGGCGGCGUGCCUAAUACAUGCAAGUAGAACGCUGAAGGAGGAGCUUGCUUCUCUGGAUGAGUUGCGAACGGGUGAGUAACGCGUAGGUAACCUGCCUGGUAGCGGGGGAUAACUAUUGGAAACGAUAGCUAAUACCGCAUAAUAUUGACUAUUGCAUGAUAGUCAGUUGAAAGGUGCAACUGCACCACUACCAGAUGGACCUGCGUUGUAUUAGCUAGUUGGUGGGGUAACGGCUCACCAAGGCGACGAUACAUAGCCGACCUGAGAGGGUGAUCGGCCACACUGGGACUGAGACACGGCCCAGACUCCUACGGGAGGCAGCAGUAGGGAAUCUUCGGCAAUGGACGGAAGUCUGAACGAGCAACGCCGCGUGAGUGAAGAAGGUUUUCGGAUCGUAAAGCUCUGUUGUAAGAGAAGAACGAGUGUGAGAGUGGAAAGCUCACACUGUGACGGUAUCUUACCAGAAAGGGACGGCUAACUACGUG
RNAcentral lists this ribosomal RNA (495 nucleotides) under uncultured bacterium. Its description in RNAcentral is "partial 16S ribosomal RNA". It matches the Rfam family "Bacterial small subunit ribosomal RNA", at positions 28 to 507 of the family's 1533-position model. The record is from RNAcentral.